UACGUAGGGACCGAGCGUUGUCCGGAUUCAUUGGGCGUAAAGAGCUCGUAGGCGGCUGCUCAAGUCGAAUGUGAAAACUCGAGGCUCAACCUCGAGCCUGCAUUCGAUACUGGGCGGCUAGAGUCUGGUAGGGGGAUCUGGAAUUCCUGGUGUAGCGGUGGAAUGCGCAGAUAUCAGGAGGAACACCGGUGGCGAAGGCGGGACCCUGGGCCAGUACUGACGCUGAGGAGCGAAAGCGUGGGGAGCAAACAGG
RNAcentral lists this ribosomal RNA (253 nucleotides) under uncultured bacterium. Its description in RNAcentral is "partial 16S ribosomal RNA". It matches the Rfam family "Bacterial small subunit ribosomal RNA", at positions 524 to 776 of the family's 1533-position model. The record is from RNAcentral.